RNAcentral lists this non-coding RNA (85 nucleotides) under Pseudomonas granadensis. RNAcentral also lists the same sequence under 7 other names. Lineage: Bacteria; Pseudomonadati; Pseudomonadota; Gammaproteobacteria; Pseudomonadales; Pseudomonadaceae. The record is from RNAcentral.
CUCAAUGGUGGCCAUGCGCAGGACACCUUCGGGUGUGCCGGGUCCUAGUUACCGGUCUACCAACCCGCGUAUGGCCGCCACCUUC